Molecule: ribosomal RNA, 1162 nt
Filed under: coccoid cyanobacterium Hutten-14142-NP4
Lineage: Bacteria; Bacillati; Cyanobacteriota
Description: bacterial SSU rRNA
Rfam family: Bacterial small subunit ribosomal RNA
Source: RNAcentral
GGGGAAUUUUCCGCAAUGGGCGAAAGCCUGACGGAGCAAUACCGCGUGAGGGAGGAAGGCUCUUGGGUUGUAAACCUCUUUUCUCAGGGAAGAAGAAAGUGACGGUACCUGAGGAAUAAGCAUCGGCUAACUCCGUGCCAGCAGCCGCGGUAAUACGGAGGAUGCAAGCGUUAUCCGGAAUGAUUGGGCGUAAAGAGUCCGUAGGUGGGAAUUCAAGUCUGCCGUGAAAGGUCGGGGCUCAACUCCGAACAAGCGGUGGAAACUGAAGAGCUAGAGGUUGGUAGGGGUAGAGGGAAUUCCCAGUGUAGCGGUGAAAUGCGUAGAGAUUGGGAAGAACACCGGUGGCGAAAGCGCUCUACUGGACCAAGACUGACACUGAGGGACGAAAGCUAGGGGAGCGAAUGGGAUUAGAUACCCCAGUAGUCCUAGCCGUAAACGAUGGAUACUAGGCGUUGUUGGUAUCGACCCCAACAGUGCCGGAGCUAACGCGUUAAGUAUCCCGCCUGGGGAGUACGCGCGCAAGCGUGAAACUCAAAGGAAUUGACGGGGGCCCGCACAAGCGGUGGAGUAUGUGGUUUAAUUCGAUGCAACGCGAAGAACCUUACCAGGGCUUGACAUGUCCGGGACCCCGGUGAAAGCUGGGGGUGCCUUAGGGAACCGGAACACAGGUGGUGCAUGGCUGUCGUCAGCUCGUGUCGUGAGAUGUUGGGUUAAGUCCCGCAACGAGCGCAACCCUCGUGUUUAGUUGCCAGCAUUAAGUUGGGCACUCUAGAGAGACUGCCGGUGACAAACCGGAGGAAGGUGGGGAUGACGUCAAGUCAGCAUGCCCCUUACGCCCUGGGCUACACACGUACUACAAUGCUACGGACAAAGGGCAGCCAGACAGCGAUGUCGAGCAAAUCCCAUAAACCGUGGCUCAGUUCAGAUCGCAGGCUGCAACUCGCCUGCGUGAAGGUGGAAUCGCUAGUAAUCCCAGAUCAGCAGUGCUGGGGUGAAUACGUUCCCGGGCCUUGUACACACCGCCCGUCACACCAUGGAAGUUGGCCACGCCCGAAGUCGUUACCCUAACCGCAAGGAGGGGGAUGCCGAAGGCAGGGCUGAUGACUGGGGUGAAGUCGUAACAAGGUAGCCGUACCGGAAGGUGUGGCUGGAUCACCUCCUU